This 465-nucleotide ribosomal RNA is filed under the name uncultured bacterium. RNAcentral's name for it is "partial 16S ribosomal RNA". It matches the Rfam family "Bacterial small subunit ribosomal RNA", at positions 28 to 507 of the family's 1533-position model. The record is from RNAcentral.
GACGAACGCUGGCGGCGUGCUUAACACAUGCAAGUCGAACGGAAAGGCCCUGCUUGCAGGGUACUCGAGUGGCGAACGGGUGAGUAACACGUGGGUGAUCUGCCCUGCACUUCGGGAUAAGCCUGGGAAACUGGGUCUAAUACCGGAUAGGAGCCAUUUUUAGUGUGUUGGUUGGAAAGUUUUUUCGGUGUGGGAUGAGCUCGCGGCCUAUCAGCUUGUUGGUGGGGUAAUGGCCUACCAAGGCGGCGCCGGGUAGCCGGCCUGGGAGGGUGGACGGCCACAUUGGGACUGAGAUACGGCCCAGACUCCUACGGGAGGCAGCAGUGGGGAAUAUUGCACAAUGGGCGCAAGCCUGAUGCAGCGACGCCGCGUGGGGGAUGACGGCCUUCGGGUUGUAAACUCCUUUCGCUAGGGACGAAGCUUUUUGUGACGGUACCUAGAUAAGAAGCACCGGCUAACUACGUG